CGGGCAGCAGCUCAUUGGUAGAGCACCCACUUCGUAUGCGGGAAGACCUGGGUUCGAUUCCCGGCUGCUUAC
Molecule: transfer RNA, 72 nt
Filed under: Toxocara canis (dog roundworm)
Lineage: Eukaryota; Metazoa; Nematoda; Chromadorea; Rhabditida; Toxocaridae
Rfam family: tRNA
About the family: Transfer RNA (tRNA) molecules are approximately 80 nucleotides in length.
Source: Rfam by way of RNAcentral